GACACCUUGGCAGAGUGGUUAACGCGUCCGGUUGCUAUCCGGAUUCCUUCGGGAGCGCAAGUUCGAGUCUUGCAGGUGUCU
Molecule: transfer RNA, 81 nt
Filed under: Alectoria sarmentosa
Lineage: Eukaryota; Fungi; Ascomycota; Lecanoromycetes; Lecanorales; Parmeliaceae
Description: tRNA-Ser
Rfam family: tRNA
About the family: Transfer RNA (tRNA) molecules are approximately 80 nucleotides in length. Their secondary structure includes four short double-helical elements and three loops (D, anti-codon, and T loops). Further hydrogen bonds mediate the characteristic L-shaped molecular structure. tRNAs have two regions of fundamental functional importance: the anti-codon, which is responsible for specific mRNA codon recognition, and the 3' end, to which the tRNAs corresponding amino acid is attached (by aminoacyl-tRNA synthetases). tRNAs cope with the degeneracy of the genetic code in two manners: having more than one tRNA (with a specific anti-codon) for a particular amino acid; and 'wobble' base-pairing, i.e. permitting non-standard base-pairing at the 3rd anti-codon position.
Source: RNAcentral